Lutra lutra (Eurasian river otter) is the source of this 284-nucleotide long non-coding RNA. RefSeq lists it as uncharacterized. The transcript is spliced from 3 exons. The record is from RefSeq and is a predicted model, not a curated record. NCBI's taxonomy places the organism in Eukaryota, Metazoa, Chordata, Mammalia, Carnivora, Mustelidae.
AGAACCUUCGAGAACAAAGGGAGAUUUUGAUUCCACUGUCUGGAUGGGGGCUCUUCGUGGGCACCCUCGACAGUGCUUUCUGGAGGCUUUUACACAUUUUUUAUUUUAUAAGGGUUUUUUGGGUUUUUUUCUUGUUUAUUUUAAAAAGGUUUCUUUGUGGUAAAAUAUACAUAGAAGUUACCAUCUCAACCAUUGUUAAGUGUCCAGUUUGGUGACUAAGUACACCUAUCCUGUCACGCAACCAUCACCACCAUCCAUCCCCAGAAUGUUUCUGUCAGCCCAGC